CUGUCCAAUUUAUCAGGUUUCCAAUGUUUUGAUUUACAAGUACAAACUUCAAGUGAAUGACAUUUAAGAGGUCUAUUAGAAAAGAGCGUGUUAAUAGACCUAAUUCUUUUUGAUGGAAAAUAUCUAUUAAAACAUAUGUCUACGUCGUGUGUACCUACUGAAAAGCCUACUGUAAUAACUAAUCCAUUUUGCUAUUCACAAUGUUCAAACAAUCUUUGACAAGUUAAUAUACGUCUACACGUGACAACUUUAUUAAUAUCCUAUAGUUCAAUACCAUCAACUAUUUCCCGAAUAACAUUUGAGAUCCUACUAAAUUGUGAAUUGUUCAGUCUGGUCAAACAUGGAGACAUAAUGUAUAAUUACAGAUUAAAUAGCAGCACUAAAAGAAUCAGAAGUAUAAGAGGUUUUUACCUUAAAUAAAUUGAUUGAGAAUUAUAAUUUUCUGUAGGCUAUCUUCUCUGAUUGCCUCUUUCUUACUUUGGUUAAGCAAGACAACCCCUCUGUACUUUCCAUAUAGAAGCUGCAAAACCAAGGUUUCCUCUCCUUUCUCAUAGAAUAUCUAGGAGGAUUGUCUGCAAAUCUAUGUAGAACAUCUGUAUCUCCUCGGCUUUGACAUGGCUUUCUAUGGUUUAUACUGUUCAUAUCUGCACAUUCACAUUUGUUUAUCGUAUACUCAAAUCAGACAUCAGAAAGACUUCUUUAUUUCAGUGAAUCCUUCCUGAUUUCAUACUUCAGCCUUUGAAGGUAUGACCCAUGAAUUUCAAUGAGCUGGACAAGGCAUUUCGAAGGAGCACUUACUGAUAAAUGUAAAAACAUUAAGAAAAUAUUACUCAAUUUAAGUUUAAAUGAGCCUUAAUCUAGCUAUAUUUGCUUUACCUUAACACAUUCAUUUCAGCAAUUUCAUUUUGACUUACGAAAUGUAUUAAUAAGGACGAUUUGUAUUUUUUUCGAAUAUAUACAGGGUUCA
Molecule: non-coding RNA, 967 nt
Organism: Schizosaccharomyces pombe (fission yeast)
Lineage: Eukaryota; Fungi; Ascomycota; Schizosaccharomycetes; Schizosaccharomycetales; Schizosaccharomycetaceae
Source: the annotation of a GenBank genome assembly